GAGGGUAUAGCUCAAGUGGUAGAGUGUGUGCUUAGCAUACACAGGGUCCUGGGUUCAAUCCCCAGUACCUCCU
Molecule: transfer RNA, 73 nt
Filed under: Camelus bactrianus (Bactrian camel)
Lineage: Eukaryota; Metazoa; Chordata; Mammalia; Artiodactyla; Camelidae
Also listed under: 2 other names
Rfam family: tRNA
About the family: Transfer RNA (tRNA) molecules are approximately 80 nucleotides in length. Their secondary structure includes four short double-helical elements and three loops (D, anti-codon, and T loops).
Source: Rfam by way of RNAcentral